GACGAAGGGGGCUAGCGUUGUUCGGAAUUACUGGGCGUAAAGCGCGUGUAGGCGGUUUCCAAAGUCGGGUGUGAAAGCCUUGAGCUUAACUCAAGAAAUGCACUCGAUACUUGGUGACUAGAGGACCGGAGAGGAUAGUGGAAUUCCCAGUGUAGUGGUGAAAUACGUAGAGAUUGGGAAGAACACCAGUGGCGAAGGCGGCUAUCUGGACGGUUUCUGACGCUGAGGUGCGAAAGCGUGGGGAGCAAACAGG
RNAcentral lists this ribosomal RNA (253 nucleotides) under uncultured bacterium. Its description in RNAcentral is "partial 16S ribosomal RNA". It matches the Rfam family "Bacterial small subunit ribosomal RNA", at positions 524 to 776 of the family's 1533-position model. The record is from RNAcentral.